AACCGCUUUCGGGGCCACUGCAGCCUCCUCUUCCACUAUGACUGGAUCAGCGUCCCACUGGUGUACACCCAGGUGGUGACCAUCGCCGUCUACACCUUCUUCGUCACCUGCCUGAUCGGGCGGCAGUUCCUGGACCCAGCCCAGGGCUACGCAGGGCACGAGUUGGACCUGGGGGUCCCCGUCUUCACCCUCCUCCAGUUCUUCUUCUACGUGGGGUGGCUCAAGGUGGCCGAGCAGCUCAUCAACCCCUUCGGCGAGGACGAUGACGACUUUGAGACCAACACGCUCAUUGACCGCAACUUCCAGGUGUCGAUGCUGGCGGUGGACGAGCUGUACGGGGAGGUGCCAGCACUGGAGCGGGACCGGUACUGGGACGCCGCCAGCCCCCGGGCACCCUACACGGCCGCGGCCGCCCCGCUGCGCCAGCCUGCCUUCCGCGGCUCCGCCUUCGACGUGGCGCUGGCGAAGGAGGAGAUGCAGUUCCAGCCGCUGGAGGACAUUGGGGAGACCCUCGGGGACACCCUUGAGCCCCCCCCCACGGCCACCCCCAGGCACCUUCACCCGACGCUUCUCCCUGCUCCGCCGCAAGAACAGCGCUGGCUCUGAGGGGGGGCUUGGCCCCGAGCCUCCCCCGGGGGCCCCCCCCCGCGCCUGCUGCCCCAGGGGACGGGGAUGGGGACAGCCUCGGGGGGGACACAGCCGUUCUCCUGGGGGACGCCCCGGGAGGGAGCAGCAGCUCCCACGACCGCUGGCUCCUGCACCCCAGCGCUAAUGACAUAGUUUAAGGAGGCAAACCCCAAAACACCCCCCCCCCGAACACAGCUAAGCCUAUACAAGCCCCUGUUGGGAAUAAACCCCCAG
Molecule: long non-coding RNA, 861 nt
Filed under: Aquila chrysaetos chrysaetos
Lineage: Eukaryota; Metazoa; Chordata; Aves; Accipitriformes; Accipitridae
Description: lncRNA (ENSACCG00020013251.1)
Source: RNAcentral